Molecule: ribosomal RNA, 853 nt
Filed under: marine metagenome
Description: bacterial SSU rRNA
Rfam family: Bacterial small subunit ribosomal RNA
Source: RNAcentral
AGAUCAUCAGAGGGAGGUAGAAUUUCAGGUGUAGUGGUGAAAUGCGUAGAUAUCUGAAGGAAUACCAAUGGCGAAAGCAGCCUCCUGGGGUGAAUCUGACAUUGAGGGACGAAAGCGUGGGUAGCAAACCGGAUUAGAUACCCGGGUAGUCCAUGCCGUAAACGAUGAAUACUGGGUCUUCGGGGAAUCGACCCCCUGUGGACCGAAGCUAACGCGUUAAGUAUUCCGCCUGGGGAGUACGGUCGCAAGACUAAAACUCAAAGGAAUUGACGGGGGCCCGCACAAGCAGCGGAGCGUGUGGUUUAAUUCGAUGGUAAACGAAGAACCUUACCUAGGUUUGACAUAUAAGUAGUACUGACCCGAAAGGUGAUGGACCCGCAAGGGAGCUUAUACAGGUGCUGCAUGGUUGUCGUCAGCUCGUGCCGUGAGGUGUUGGGUUAAGUCCCGCAACGAGCGCAACCCUCGUGGAUAGUUGUUUUCUUUAUCCAGACUGCUUUUACAAGAGGAAGGUGGGGAUGACGUCAAAUCAUCAUGGCUCUUACACCUAGGGCUACACACACGCUACAAUGGACAGUACAGACGGUUGCUAAGUCGCAAGAUGGAGCCAAUCCGAUAAAGCUGUCCCCAAUUGGGAUUGUAGGCUGAAACUCGCCUGCAUGAACCUGGAGUUGCUAGUAACCGCAGAUCAGAACGCUGCGGUGAAUACGUUCCCGGGCCUUGUACACACCGCCCGUCACGUCAUGGAAGUUUGAAACACUUGAAGUCGCUGGGCUUACCUUUUAGGAGGCAGGCGCCGAGAGUGGGGCAAAUGACUGGGACGAAGUCGUAACAAGGUAGCUGUACCGGAAGGUGC